Molecule: ribosomal RNA, 244 nt
Filed under: uncultured bacterium
Lineage: Bacteria
Description: partial small subunit ribosomal RNA
Rfam family: Bacterial small subunit ribosomal RNA
Source: RNAcentral
AGAAUCAACGCUGGCGGCGUGCCUAACACAUGCAAGUCGAACGAGAAAGUGGAGCAAUCCAUGAGUAAAGUGGCGCACGGGUGAGUAACACGUGACUAACCUACCCUUGAGUGGGGGAUAACCUAGGGAAACCUGGGCUAAUACCGCAUAACACCUACGGGUCAAAGGAGCAAUUCGCUUAAGGAGGGGUCGCGGCAGAUUAGCUAGUUGGCGGGGUAAUGGCCCACCAAGGCAGUGAUCUGUA